AUGGACGAUCUUGACAGGUCGCUCCUUCAACAACCUCCAGUUGCCAUUGGUUCCAUCAUUCCCAAAACUUCUGGAAUGGAUGGUACUCCGUCUCUUGGUGCAACACCAGUCUUCGCAGAUGAUGGAACCGUGAAGGAGUAUGAAUCUGACAAUAAGACCGUUCGUGGUCAUUUGCUCAGCCACGUUACCAACCCGAUCUUCGGUGAUAUGGGAACUCUUGGAGGCUAA
Molecule: non-coding RNA, 228 nt
Organism: Vicia faba (fava bean)
Lineage: Eukaryota; Viridiplantae; Streptophyta; Magnoliopsida; Fabales; Fabaceae
Source: the annotation of a GenBank genome assembly